Molecule: non-coding RNA, 44 nt
Filed under: Schistosoma mansoni
Lineage: Eukaryota; Metazoa; Platyhelminthes; Trematoda; Strigeidida; Schistosomatidae
Source: RNAcentral
CUCAGCUGAUGAGUCCCAAAUAGGACGAAACACGCGUCCUUGAU